GACGAACGCUGGCGGCGUGCUUAACACAUGCAAGUCGAACGGAAAGGCCCUGCUUUUGUGGGGUGCUCGAGUGGCGAACGGGUGAGUAACACGUGAGUAACCUGCCCUUGACUUUGGGAUAACUUCAGGAAACUGGGGCUAAUACCGGAUAGGAGCUCCUGCUGCAUGGUGGGGGUUGGAAAGUUUCGGCGGUUGGGGAUGGACUCGCGGCUUAUCAGCUUGUUGGUGGGGUAGUGGCUUACCAAGGCUUUGACGGGUAGCCGGCCUGAGAGGGUGACCGGCCACAUUGGGACUGAGAUACGGCCCAGACGCCUACGGGAGGCAGCGGUGGGGAAUAUUGCACAAUGGGCGGAAGCCUGAUGCAGCAACGCCGCGUGCGGGAUGACGGCCUUCGGGUUGUAAACCGCUUUCGCCUGUGACGAAGCGUGAGUGACGGUAAUGGGUAAAGAAGCACCGGCUAACUACG
Molecule: ribosomal RNA, 466 nt
Filed under: uncultured bacterium
Lineage: Bacteria
Description: partial 16S ribosomal RNA
Rfam family: Bacterial small subunit ribosomal RNA
Source: RNAcentral